AGUGCAAUCUUGGCUCGCUGCUGCCUCAACUUCCCGGGCACAUUCUACGCCAGGGGUGGCAUGAUCCCAUUGGCAUCUUGGGGGGGUGGGCAUUCUCCAGUUUGUGCUGCAGGUGCCUGAGAGGCAGGUGGAUUGCCGCGUGCAGCUUUACCACUUGAGCCUCCGCCUGCCCUAUGUGGAGAGCAGCAGUCACCUGAAGGUGCAGUACAAUGGGCGGCCGCUGUUUGUGGCAGGCGGGCAGUGGAAGGACACAUCUCGGGCCACCCUGUGGAAGUGGGAAGGAGCCUUGAACCUGGAUAGUCCAUGGCUGAUGGUCUCUGCAGCUCACAGGCUAUACUGGCCACACCGAGCUGUGUUCCAGGCUGUCCUGGAGCUAACGCUGGGCAAGGCCUGGACCCUAA
Molecule: long non-coding RNA, 401 nt
Filed under: Homo sapiens (human)
Lineage: Eukaryota; Metazoa; Chordata; Mammalia; Primates; Hominidae
Description: non-protein coding lnc-LITAF-3:1
Source: RNAcentral